AGCAGCCGCGGUAAUUCCAGCUCCAAUAGCGUAUAUUAAAGUUGUUGCAGUUAAAAAGCUCGUAGUUGAAUUUCGGGGUUAGUAGGUCGGUCAUGCCUCAGGUAUGUACUGGUCUCACUGAUUCCUCCUUCCUGAUGAGCCGUAAUGCCAUUAAUUUGGUGUUGCGGGGAAUCUGGACUGUUACUUUGAAAAAAUUGAGUGUUUAAAGCAGGCUAACGCUUGAAUACAUUAGCAUGGAAUAAUGGAAUAGGACGUUCGAUCCUAUUUUGUUGGUUUCUAGGUUUGACGUAAUGAUUAAUGGGGAUAGUUGGGGGCAUUAGUAUUCAAUUGUCAGAGGUGAAAUUCUUGGAUUUAUUGAAGACUAACUACUGCGAAAGCAUUUGCCAAGGAUGUUUUCAUUAAUCAAGAACGAAAGUUAGGGAUCGAAGACGAUCAGAUACCGUCGUAGUCUUAACCAUAAACCUAUGCCGACUAGGGAUCGGAUGAUGUUAAUUUUUAAUGACUCAUUCGGCGCCUUAAC
Molecule: ribosomal RNA, 520 nt
Filed under: uncultured Glomus
Lineage: Eukaryota; Fungi; Glomeromycota; Glomeromycetes; Glomerales; Glomeraceae
Description: SSU rRNA
Rfam family: Eukaryotic small subunit ribosomal RNA
Source: RNAcentral